This 1189-nucleotide ribosomal RNA is filed under the name uncultured bacterium. RNAcentral's name for it is "bacterial SSU rRNA". It matches the Rfam family "Bacterial small subunit ribosomal RNA", at positions 28 to 1152 of the family's 1533-position model. The record is from RNAcentral.
AAUAAACGCUGGUGGCAUGCUUUAUACAUGCAAGUCGAGCGAAGACUAGAUUUGUAGUAGAAAUGAUUGAUUUUCACUUUGUGGAGAUUAUGAGUUUUUGCUAUUCCUGGUCUUAGCGGCGAACGGGUGAGUAACGCGUGAAUAAUCUGCCCUUGAAAUCGGGAUACCAUUCCGAAAGGAAUGCUAAUACCGAAUAACGUUAUGAAACGUAGGUUUUAUAACCAAAGUUGAAUCUUCGGAUUCUUCGUUCAAGGAUGAGUUCGCGUCCUAUUAGCUAGUUGGUGAGGUAAAGGCUCACCAAGGCUAUGAUGGGUAGCCGGCCUGAGAGGGCGUACGGCCACAUUGGGACUGAGACACGGCCCAGACUCCUACGGGAGGCAGCAGUAGGGAAUCUUCCGCAAUGGGCGAAAGCCUGACGGAGCGAUGCCACGUGGAUGACGGAGGCCUUCGGGUCGUAAAAUCCUGUCAGGAGGGACGAUGGUCAAUUUUCGGAUUGAUUGACGGUACCUCCAGAGGAAGCUCCGGCCAACUACGUGCCAGCAGCCGCGGUAAUACGUAGGGAGCAAGCGUUGUUCGGAUUUACUGGGCGUAAAGAGUGCGUAGGUGGCUAUACAAGUCAAGGGUGAAAUCUCUACUUUCAAGGUAGAAACUGCCUUUGAUACUGUAUGGCUAGAGGACAAGAGGGGGAAAUGGAACUCUGGGAGUAGCGGUGAAAUGCGUAGAUAUCCAGAGGAACGCCAGUAGCGAAGGCGGUUUCCUGGCUUGUUUCUGACACUGAGGCACCAAAGCUAGGGGAGCGAUCGGGAUUAGAGACCCCGGUAGUCCUAGCCCUAAACGAUGGGUACUAGGUGGGGGGGGAGCAUUACCCUCUGUGCCGAAGCUAACGCGUUAAGUACCCCGCCUGGGGAGUACGGUCGCAAGACUGAAACUCAAAAGAAUUGACGGGGGGCUGAACAAGCAGUGGAGCACGUGGUUUAAUUCGACGCAAAGCGAAGAACCUUACCAGGACUUGACAUGCUAGUAGUAGUGAUCCGAAAGGUGAGCCAUCCAGGCUUCGGCUUGGAAGCUAGCACAGGUGGUGCAUGGUUGUCGUCAGCUCGUGCCGUGAGGUGUCGGGUUAAGUCCUUUAACGAGCGCAACCCUUGUCCUUAGUAACCAGCGGUUCGGCCGGGCACUCUAAGGAGACCGC